This 345-nucleotide ribosomal RNA is filed under the name Bacillus licheniformis. RNAcentral describes it as "bacterial SSU rRNA". It matches the Rfam family "Bacterial small subunit ribosomal RNA", at positions 983 to 1328 of the family's 1533-position model. The record is from RNAcentral. Lineage: Bacteria; Bacillati; Bacillota; Bacilli; Caryophanales; Bacillaceae.
GUCAUCCUCUAACAACCAUAGAGAUAGGUCUUCCCUUUCGGGGGCAGAGUGACAGGUGGUGCAUGGUCGUCGUCAGCUCGUGUUGUGAGAUGUUGGGUUAAGUCCCGCAACGAGCGCAACCCUUGAUCUUAGUUGCCAGCAUUCAGUUGGGCACUCUAAGGUGACUGCCGGUGACAAACCGGAGGAAGGUGGGGAUGACGUCAAAUCAUCAUGCCCCUUAUGACCUGGGCUACACACGUGCUACAAUGGGCAGAACAAAGGGCAGCGAAGCCGCGAGGCUAAGCCAAUCCCACAAAUCUGUUCUCAGUUCGGAUCGCAGUCUGCAACUCGACUGCGUGAAGCUGU